AGUGAACGCUGGCGGCAGGCCUAACACAUGCAAGUCGAGCGGCAGCGCGGGGGCAACCCUGGCGGCUAGCGGCGGACGGGUGAGGAAUUCGUCGGAAUCUGCCUUUUUUUGGUGUAUGACGUAUGCAAACUUACGCUACUACCGCAUACUUCCUACUGCAGCAAGUUGGGGACCGCAAGGCCUCACGCACAAAUAUGAUCCGACGACCGAUUAGCUAGUUUGUGGGGUAAAGGCUCACCAAGGCGACGAUCGGUAGCUGGACUGAGAGGAUGAUCAGCCACACUGGGACUGGGACACGGCCAAGACUCCUAAGGGAGGCAGCAGAGGGGAAUAGUGGACAAUGGGCGCAAGCCUGAUACAGCGAUGCCGAGUGUGUGGAGAAGGCCCUCGGGUUGUAAAGAACGUUUGUCCGGAAAGAAAUGCCUGGAGCUAAGACCUACGGGGGAUGACGGUAACGGAAGAAUAAGCACCGGCUAACUACGUG
This 484-nucleotide ribosomal RNA is filed under the name uncultured bacterium. Its description in RNAcentral is "partial 16S ribosomal RNA". It matches the Rfam family "Bacterial small subunit ribosomal RNA", at positions 29 to 507 of the family's 1533-position model. The record is from RNAcentral.